Epinephelus moara (kelp grouper) is the source of this 1123-nucleotide long non-coding RNA. RefSeq lists it as uncharacterized. The record is from RefSeq and is a predicted model, not a curated record. Lineage: Eukaryota; Metazoa; Chordata; Actinopteri; Perciformes; Serranidae. The transcript is spliced from 3 exons.
GUUUCAGCCUCAGAGAAUGCCACCCGUUGGUGUGGGCUGUCAGGGCCACAUCCCAGCCCGCUGUCAAGCUCACUGAGGGGAAGGUAUCCAAGAAGACGAUCAGACCGCCAAGGAGUGCGAUAGUCGGACUGAAGAGAUAGCCUUGCCCCCCAUCACGCAGCCUACCUACCCUGCACUGUAUCCAUCUCCUUGGCCUCCCUCACCAUCCAUCAGUCCCAUGGCUCUCAAGGCCUCCCAGUGUCUUUCGGUCGGGACUUGGCACUCAAUGGCACAACGAGACCGCCGCCUCCUGUGACCAUGUCCCCUUCUCGCCUCCACCUGCACAUUGAUUGGCUGGCCAUACUCAUCCACAAAGUGCAGCUCCUCUCGGUGUCGGUGACGAGAUGGUUCACGAGUCUUGGCCUGAGUGGGUCGCCUCAGCAGCCAUCAGAUCCAGUUAUGAUCUCCCUCGUCUCUCUGUCUUGCCUGUCAGAGGCCCUCAACUGUGUGUACGCUACAGGAGGUCAUCUGAGAAGGUGUUUGUUUACGCGCACCACAGCAUCAAUGGGUCCGGGAUAAAACCUCCUCUGACACACCAGAUAAUUGUGUGUUCCAGCGUUCAGAGGUGAAUGUGUGCCAGGAAACAUCCGUCCUGCCGUCGCUGCCGCGGAUUAUUCAGUUCUGCGUGUCUAAAGGGAGCGUCGAACCGCAGCCGGCCGAGCCUUGUGAUCAGCGAGGCGCUCAGCCAGGAAAGGUGGCGCUUAAUGAAAACACGGCUAAGCUUGGAGCUCUACGUCACUGAUCAGCACGAGGGAGAAAAGAUCCACAGACAUCAAUUACUGAGAUGUGGCUUCGCGCUGUAACAUGCAGACAGAAAUGAGGAGGAGUGCUCAGUAACCAGGACAAACACGCAACAAACACUUUCCAAGAAAAACUCAGUGACGGACUCAUUUAUGGAAGCGAGGCUGUAGCACUCCACGUAAUGUGUUCAAAUAGAAAAACAAAGCAGAUAAACCAAGUUGUCCUCCGCCUUUGCUUUGUGAGAGCGAUCUGUUUGCUCUGCUGCAGAUUAGUCACCACAGGAAGUCAUGCUCUGCUGGUUGUUGCUCUAAAGAAUUUAAAAUGUCCUCUGUACAAUCAAAUA